Molecule: long non-coding RNA, 2529 nt
Organism: Hyla sarda
Lineage: Eukaryota; Metazoa; Chordata; Amphibia; Anura; Hylidae
Exons: 3
Source: RefSeq, a predicted model, not a curated record
AAAAAAAAAAGACUUGUGCGUCAUGAACGCUUGUAGGCUGACUUGAUGCAGUUACUAUGAGCUGGGAAGUUGGGAGAAGUUUUUUCUAUGUGUUUUGUAGACGAGAUCUGUGGCUGUGUGUCUCCAUUGGGGGGGAGAGAGUGGAAUCCAGAAGGGGGGACGUGUGUUCUUGUUUCUAAGUCUGAAAUAAUUCCUUUAAAAGAAUGAAUGAGAUUAUUAAGUGUCUCAGGACCCCUCUAUCUAUGUGCAUCAGUGCAUUGGAGGGAAACUGAUAGUAGAAUCGAUCCCAUUUAUUUAAAAGGGGCAGUUUACAUUCAUCCAGUGUCUCAAAUGGACGCCAGGCAGUGGAACGCGCCACAUUGGCGCUGGAUAAGGGAGCGCAUCUUGCUGCAUUCAUUCCCCUGUGAGGCAUGCGCAAUUAAUGAACGCCAAAUCCUAAACAGACAAUGGACUUCUGUCAUUAUAGGCGACUCUUUAGAGGCCUGUUCACACUUUCCGCUCAAAAUGGACAUUUUUUUGAUGCUGAUGCAUUUCUGUGGCGGAAUUCCGUGUGCGCUGCAUUGUCAUCAAUAGCCAUGGCACAGGUCCAGUUUUGUUUCUGUUCUACUGAGAAUCUCUGCAUGGAAUUUGUCUCCGGUGUAAAUUCCUAAUCUGAACGUGCUCUUAUGGUCGGCAGAUAAUAAAAGGAAAUUGGUUAUAUAGAGGAACCUGGGAGGUGGGGGGUUUGGUGAUGUAGAUUGAUGAUUUUUCUACAUUUUUUAUUUGUGUGGUGGUGAUGUGUAUGUGCCCACAUUUUUUUAUUACAUAGUUGCAUGACGUGAUAACUAUAAUUCUAGUGUACUUUUUUGUAAAACUGCGUACCACUUGGUAUGUCUCAAAACAGCAACUGAAACAAAUCGUGCCACAAAUCCACACCACAAAAAAAGAGUAAAACCAAUCAAAACACCCACCACCACCAUCCAAAUAUCUCUCUGUUCUUGGUUGUAUUUGUGACAACCAUGUUUAGGGUUAGAAUACAUUUAAGAAAUUGUCCACUUUUGAUGUUUCCUGUACGCUCAGCCGAUGGUAAAUUUUACAGCUGUUUGAAGAAUAUUCUUCGACCGUGGUAUCUGUGGGUCCUACACAGGGGUAAUAUGUUUUUUUCUGCUCACGUAUUGCUAUUACAGAUAGGAGAUAAUAAGCUUUGUAGAAGCAAAUAUGCUGCUAAAUUACUACAGGCCACUUAUGUUACGGUAGACACGUGUGCCAGUGUCCCUUAGACUGUUGCAAAAAUGACAACUCUCAUUAUACCUGACAGUCGAAGGCUACAGCCAUAGCCAUUGAUUAUGGGAAGGUUUUUCCCCAUUAACCCUUAUAAUUAUUUUAUUUUAAGAAAAUUGACCGCACCCUUAGAGGUUCACUUUAAUGUUUCAUUUUGUCAGCCAGCCAUAGAUUCUUCCUCUUCACAUUUAACCCUUUCCCACGUUGUCACGUGCGCAUCACUUUUCCACGUACCAACGCACAUGUAUGUGACGGUGAUCACGUCUGGAAUAUGGCUGUGAUUGACAACCACCCUCUAGCACUAUUGGAUGAGACUGGAGAAAACUCUCAUCGGAGCUGUUUAACCACUUCAAUGACAAUCCUAGUGCAGACAGAGAGAGCCUUCUUUUGCCCUGUCCCUGUCAGCCUCGGUAGUCACAUUACCAAAACAGGACAAAUGCAUCACAAAAACCUAUAACACUCCAUAUUAUAAAUCUACAUUCGCUUUGCCCUAUACAUUAAAUCUAUAUUCCCCAUUCAUUUUAAAGGUAAACACUGCAACAAAAAAAAGUAAAAGAAAAGAAGUUACUAUGAAUUUACCCACAAAUAUAAAAAUGAAUCUUCCCACAAAACAAGGCCUCAAAUAGCUACGUGUCUAUAACCCAGUAUAUGAAGACAUUAAAGUUGUCAUUGCAGAGUACAAGUGGUCCGGCAAAAAACAGGCCCUCGUAUGAGUGAGUGGAUUGAAAAAUAAAAGGGCUUUGUCUAUUAAUGUUAUGUCUACUAAAAGCUAAACAAGCCUAUGGCGGUCAAUGGGAAAAAAAUGCCACAAACUGAAUGAAGAAACAAAAAGGUUAGAAAAAAGCCAACCCGAAAAAAAACAGAAGACUAUCAAACCACAAACAGAAAAGCAUUGAAGGUAAAGUGUUUUAAUUUGACUAAUGACUCCCAAAAAUGAUAUUUUUUUGGAGAUGUUUUUUCAUGCUCUCGUAGAUCAUAAGUUGUUUACAGAGCCUAUCAGAUGGAUUGAAUGUUGGGCAGAGAGCACAGCACAAACAGGGCUCAAGUCCUGCAGGAACUCAUGGGAACUGAGUUCCUGCACUUUUUCCACAGCUGGAACGCAGUUCCCAUUAGCAGGAGUCCUGCAGGUCCAUCCCUUAAAGGGGUACUCCGACCCUAGAUAUCUUAUCCCGGGGGUCCCGCCGCUGGGGAUUCCCAGCAAUUCUUGGCUAUGGCACCCAAGACAUCCGGUGCACGGAGUGAACUUUGCUCCAUGCCGAAUGACUGGCG